RNAcentral lists this unclassified non-coding RNA (660 nucleotides) under Pseudomalbranchea gemmata. RNAcentral describes it as "Eurotiomycetidae sp. ERA-2019 sequence contains 18S rRNA gene, ITS1, 5.8S rRNA gene, ITS2". The stretch from base 247 to 400 matches the Rfam family "5.8S ribosomal RNA". The record is from RNAcentral. Lineage: Eukaryota; Fungi; Ascomycota; Eurotiomycetes; Onygenales; Onygenaceae.
GUACUGCGGAGAUCAUUAACGUGCCCUUCGAUGCGGUCCGGCUCCGAGAGAUCGGGGAUCGGCCGCCGCACCGAAACCGGCCCCACCCGUGCUUACCUUGACCACGUUGCCUUGGCGGGCCCCGUCAGGCCUAACGGCCUGGCAGCCGGGGUGCCUAACGGCCCCUGGACAGUGCCCGCCGAUGGCCCCAACUGAACUCUGAACCGUAGUGAUUGAAUGUCUGAGUCCCAUUGAAGAAAUAAGCAAAACUUUCAACAACGGAUCUCUUGGUUCCGGCAUCGAUGAAGAACGCAGCGAAAUGCGAUAAGUAAUGUGAAUUGCAGAAUUCCGUGAAUCAUCGAAUCUUUGAACGCACAUUGCGCCCUCUGGUAUUCCGGAGGGCAUGCCUGUUCGAGCGUCAUUUCAACCCCUUCAAGCCCGGCUUGUGUGUUGAGCGGCGGUCCCCCUGUUAUUAACGGGAAGGCCGGCUUCAAAUGCAGUGGCAGCGCCGCUAUAUUAAGGGUGACUGAGCACAUGGGAAACAAUAGUAUCUUCGUGCUUACUCCAAAAGUCCCCGGUGGCCGCUAGCCCAGCGCCAGACCUUUUGGUGUUUAUUUUAACUAGGUUGACCUCGGAUCAGGUAGGGAUACCCGCUGAACUUAAGCAUAUCAAUAAAGCCGG